AGCGACGGACGGGUGAGUAACACGUGGGUAACCUGCCCAAGAGACUGGGAUAACACCUGGAAACAGAUGCUAAUACCGGAUAACAACACUAGACGCAUGUCUAGAGUUUGAAAGAUGGUUCUGCUAUCACUCUUGGAUGGACCUGCGGUGCAUUAGCUAGUUGGUAAGGUAACGGCUUACCAAGGCAAUGAUGCAUAGCCGAGUUGAGAGACUGAUCGGCCACAUUGGGACUGAGACACGGCCCAAACUCCUACGGGAGGCAGCAGUAGGGAAUCUUCCACAAUGGACGAAAGUCUGAUGGAGCAACGCCGCGUGAGUGAAGAAGGGUUUCGGCUCGUAAAGCUCUGUUGGUAGUGAAGAAAGAUAGAGGUAGUAACUGGCCUUUAUUUGACGGUAAUUACUUAGAAAGUCACGGCUAACUACGUGCCAGCAGCCGCGGUAAUACGUAGGUGGCAAGCGUUGACCGGAUUUAUUGGGCGUAAAGCGAGUGCAGGCGGUUCAAUAAGUCUGAUGUGAAAGCCUUCGGCUCAACCGGAGAAUUGCAUCAGAAACUGUUGAACUUGAGUGCAGAAGAGGAGAGUGGAACUCCAUGUGUAGCGGUGGAAUGCGUAGAUAUAUGGAAGAACACCAGUGGCGAAAGGCGGCUCUCUGGUCUGCAACUGACGCUGAGGCUCGAAAGCAUGGGUAGUGAACAGGAUUAGAUACCCUGGGUAGUCCAUGCCGUAAACGAUGAGUGCUAAGUGU
Molecule: ribosomal RNA, 744 nt
Filed under: uncultured bacterium
Lineage: Bacteria
Description: bacterial SSU rRNA
Rfam family: Bacterial small subunit ribosomal RNA
Source: RNAcentral